This 443-nucleotide ribosomal RNA is filed under the name uncultured bacterium. RNAcentral describes it as "bacterial SSU rRNA". It matches the Rfam family "Bacterial small subunit ribosomal RNA", at positions 338 to 795 of the family's 1533-position model. The record is from RNAcentral.
CCUANGGGAGGCAGCAAUUAGGAAUCUUGCACAAUGGGCGAAAGCCUGAUGCAGCGACGCCGCGUGAAGGAUGAAGGCCUUCGGGUUGUAAACUUCUUUUGUCAGGGAAGAAGAAAGUGACGGUACCUGGCGAAUAAGCCCCGGCUAACUACGUGCCAGCAGCCGCGGUAAUACGUAGGGGGCGAGCGUUGUCCGAAUUUACUGGGCGUAAAGCGCGCGUAGGCGGAUUUUUAAGUCGGUGGUGAAAUCUCAGGGCUUAACCCUGAAACUGCCGCCGAAACUGGAAGUCUUGAGGUAUGGAGAGGGAAGUGGAAUUCCUGGUGUAGCGGUGAAAUGCGUAGAUAUCAGGAGGAACACCCGUGGCGAAGGCGGCUUCCUGGCCAUAUCCUGACGCUGAGGUGCGAAAGCCAGGGGAGCGAACGGGAUUAGAUACCCGGNUANUC